UACGAAGGGGGCUAGCGUUGCUCGGAAUCACUGGGCGUAAAGGGUGCGUAGGCGGGGCUUUAAGUCAGGGGUGAAAUCCUGGAGCUCAACUCCAGAACUGCCUUUGAUACUGAGGAUCUUGAGUUCGGGAGAGGUGAGUGGAACUGCGAGUGUAGAGGUGAAAUUCGUAGAUAUUCGCAAGAACACCAGUGGCGAAGGCGGCUCACUGGCCCGAUACUGACGCUGAGGUGCGAAAGCGUGGGGAGCAAACAGG
This 253-nucleotide ribosomal RNA is filed under the name uncultured bacterium. RNAcentral's name for it is "partial 16S ribosomal RNA". It matches the Rfam family "Bacterial small subunit ribosomal RNA", at positions 524 to 776 of the family's 1533-position model. The record is from RNAcentral.